AAAAGCUUUCUUUAAUUGAAUAAUUGAAUUUAAUUUUUUAGUGCAAAAGCAAAAAUAAAAAUUAGGGACAAGAAGACCCUAUGAAUUUUUUAUUAAAUUUUAUUAAACUUUAUAUAAAAUUUAAUUUAAUUGGGGUGAUGGAAAAAGAAUAAAUAUCUUUUUUUUAAAAGAAAAUUGGUUCCGUUUUUAGCGAUUAAAUGAAAAAAAUACUCUAGGGAUAACAGCGUAAUAAUUUUGGAUAGUUCAUAUAGAUAAAAUAGUUUGCGACCUCGAUGUUGGAUUAGGAUUCUUUUUUGGUGAAGAAGUUAAAAAAAGAAGUUUGUUCAACUUAUAAUUUCCUACUUGAUCUGAGUUCAGACCGG
Molecule: ribosomal RNA, 362 nt
Filed under: Ixodes ricinus (castor bean tick)
Lineage: Eukaryota; Metazoa; Arthropoda; Arachnida; Ixodida; Ixodidae
Description: partial 16S ribosomal RNA
Rfam family: Bacterial large subunit ribosomal RNA (bases 217-362)
Source: RNAcentral